UAGGGAAUCUUCGGCAAUGGGGGCAACCCUGACCGAGCAACGCCGCGUGAGUGAAGAAGGCUUUCGGAUCGUAAAGCUCUGUUGUAAGAGAAGAACGUGUGUGAGAGUGGAAAGUUCACACAGUGACGGUAACUUACCAGAAAGGGACGGCUAACUACGUGCCAGCAGCCGCGGUAAUACGUAGGUCCCGAGCGUUGUCCGGAUUUAUUGGGCGUAAAGCGAGCGCAGGCGGUUUAAUAAGUCUGAAGUUAAAGGCAGUGGCUUAACCAUUGUUCGCUUUGGAAACUGUUAAACUUGAGUGCGGAAAGGGAGAGUGGAAUUCCAUGUGUAGCGGUGAAAUGCGUAGAUAUAUGGAGGAACACCGGUGGCGAAAGCGGCUCUCUGGUCUGUAACUGACGCUGAGGCUCGAAAGCGUGGGGAGCAAACAGG
This 429-nucleotide ribosomal RNA is filed under the name bacterium. RNAcentral describes it as "partial 16S ribosomal RNA". It matches the Rfam family "Bacterial small subunit ribosomal RNA", at positions 355 to 776 of the family's 1533-position model. The record is from RNAcentral.